RNAcentral lists this ribosomal RNA (499 nucleotides) under uncultured bacterium. RNAcentral describes it as "partial 16S ribosomal RNA". It matches the Rfam family "Bacterial small subunit ribosomal RNA", at positions 28 to 507 of the family's 1533-position model. The record is from RNAcentral.
GACGAACGCUGGCGGCGUGCCUAAUACAUGCAAGUCGAGCGAAGUUUUUCUGGUGCUUUCACUAGAAAAACUUAGCGGCGAACGGGUGAGUCACACGUAACGAACCUGCCUCAUAGACUGGGCCAACUAUUGGAAACGCUAGCUCCUACCGGAUGACAGUAUUUCUCGCAUGAGAGAUAUUUAAAAGUUGGUUCUGCUAACACUAUGCGAUGGCUUUGCGGUGCAUUAGCUAGUUGGUGGGGUAAAGGCCCACCAAGUCGACAAUGCAUAGCCGACCUGAGAGGGUGAUCGGCCACACUGGGACUGAGACACGGCCCAGACUCCUACGGGAGGCAGCAGUAGGGAAUCUUCCGCAAUGGGCGAAAGCCUUACGGAGCAACGCCGCGUGAGUGAAGAAGGAUUUCGGUUCGUAAAGCUCUGUUGUUAGGGAAGAAUGGAUAUGUAGUAACUAUACAUGUAAGAGACGGUACCUAACCAGAAAGCCACGGCUAACUACGUG